AGUGAACGCUGGCGGUAGGCCUAACACAUGCAAGUCGAACGGCAGCACAGUAAGAGCUUGCUCUUACGGGUGGCGAGUGGCGGACGGGUGAGGAAUACAUCGGAAUCUACUUUUUCGUGGGGGAUAACGUAGGGAAACUUACGCUAAUACCGCAUACGACCUACGGGUGAAAGCAGGGGAUCUUCGGACCUUGCGCGAUUGAAUGAGCCGAUGUCGGAUUAGCUAGUUGGCGGGGUAAAGGCCCACCAAGGCGACGAUCCGUAGUUGGUCUGAGAGGAUGAUCAGCCACACUGGAACUGAGACACGGUCCAGACUCCUACGGGGGGCAGCAGUGGGGAAUAUUGGACAAUGGGCGCAAGCCUGAUCCAGCCAUACCGCGUGGGUGAAGAAGGCCUUCGGGUUGUAAAGCCCUUUUGUUGGGAAAGAAAAGCAGCAGGUUAAUACCCCGCUGUUCUGACGGUACCCAAAGAAUAAGCACCGGCUAACUUCGUG
Molecule: ribosomal RNA, 492 nt
Filed under: uncultured bacterium
Lineage: Bacteria
Description: partial 16S ribosomal RNA
Rfam family: Bacterial small subunit ribosomal RNA
Source: RNAcentral